GACGAACGCUGGCGGCGUGCCUAAUACAUGCAAGUAGAACGCUGAAGGAGGAGCUUGCUCUUCUGGAUGAGUUGCGAACGGGUGAGUAACGCGUAGGUAACCUGCCUGGUAGCGGGGGAUAACUGUUGGAAACGAUAGCUAAUACCGCAUAAGAGUAGAUGUUGCAUGACAUUUACUUAAAAGGUGCAAUUGCAUCACUACCAGAUGGACCUGCGUUGUAUUAGCUAGUUGGUGGGGUAACGGCUUACCAAGGCGACGAUACAUAGCCGACCUGAGAGGGUGAUCGGCCACACUGGGACUGAGACACGGCCCAGACUCCUACGGGAGGCAGCAGUAGGGAAUCUUCGGCAAUGGACGGAAGUCUGACCGAGCAACGCCGCGUGAGUGAAGAAGGUUUUCGGAUCGUAAAGCUCUGUUGUAAGAGAAGAACGAGUGUGAGAGUGGAAAGUUCACACUGUGACGGUAUCUUACCAGAAAGAGACGGCUAACUACGUG
RNAcentral lists this ribosomal RNA (495 nucleotides) under uncultured bacterium. RNAcentral describes it as "partial 16S ribosomal RNA". It matches the Rfam family "Bacterial small subunit ribosomal RNA", at positions 28 to 507 of the family's 1533-position model. The record is from RNAcentral.